RNAcentral lists this transfer RNA (52 nucleotides) under Platydictya jungermannioides. RNAcentral describes it as "partial tRNA-Leu". RNAcentral also lists the same sequence under 3 other names. Lineage: Eukaryota; Viridiplantae; Streptophyta; Bryopsida; Hypnales; Amblystegiaceae. The record is from RNAcentral.
UUAAAAUCCGUUGGCUUUAUUGACCGUGAGGGUUCAAGUCCCUCUACCCCCA